Long non-coding RNA from Fukomys damarensis (Damara mole-rat), 3490 nucleotides. The record is from Ensembl. NCBI's taxonomy places the organism in Eukaryota, Metazoa, Chordata, Mammalia, Rodentia, Bathyergidae.
CUCUUCCCAGGGCCACCGCCCCGCACAAGAAGCAACAAGCACUUUGCAAACAAAAUUUUAUUCAGCCCUUACCCAAACCAAAUAUUUUCCCCCAUUUUUUGUUUCUGUUUUUGUUUUUGUUUUUCCCCCAUUUUUCAGAUGAGAAAAUUAAGGCACACAGAGGAGGGAGCCAAGAAAAGCCUGAGCCGGAGCCAGGCCUGGGCUCACUGCUUUCUGAGAACACAGGAGUAAACAAGACCCACACAGGCCUGACCUCCCCGUGAGGGCAACAGCUGAGAAACAAGAUGAAUCAUAGGCUGUGGCCCAGUAUGGAGGAUGCAGGGAGAGAUGGAGGAGGAGAGGAGGGAGCGCCGGCCGGGAGUUCACUGCUAAGGGCAGCCAUGGAGGCCCUGCUGAGAAGAGCAAAGGCCCGAAGAGAGGAGGGAGAGCCUGUGCCUUCAUCACUGGGGGAACAGCAUUCAGAGCAGAGGGGAUGGCAAGUGCAAAGACCCAGAGGCAGGGAGUUUCGCGGAGCCUGGUGGUGCCAGGCAUGAAGGCAAAGAAGCAGCUGGGCUUUAUCCUGAGAGCAAAAGGGAGCCAUAGCAAGGCUGGGGCGAGGCAGGCUGGAGUCAGAUGUGCUGUAAGACAGAGUGGGCCGGGGAGCUCAGGCAGGAGCUGGUGUACAAGAGGAAAGAACCGUCAGAGGCUGGGUGGCUGGGGUGGGGGCAGGAAGAGGACUUGCCCACCUCCUUGCCAUGUGAACAUCCCGAAUUCAGUCUGCCUUGGAGGAAGCCGGAGAAAGGCCAGCAGGGGAAGCGGACUCUGCUGACUCACAGGCUGCGCCUACCAACUUCCUCCGGGAGCCCUAAACUCAGACAGCAGGGCAGGGAGCCCUCGGCGAGGGGAUACAGAGGGAGCAAUCACAACGGUGGCCCAGAAUGCAAAGGGGUUAAGAGGGUGACCUGCCAGCGUGGCGGGGGCACCAGGGAGGGCCCCCUUCAGUUGGCCAAAGACGGGAGGAAGAGUCACAGGCAGAGGAAACAGCACCUGCGGCGGCCGGAGCCCAGGCAGGACACCAUCCCCGAGCCGGGGCACACCGGCCUGCACGCGGGGGGCUGCCGGCAAGGAGGGCUUCUGCCACCACGCAGGGUUUGUUGGUGGGGGUCCCGUCCCCACCACCACCACCAUAAACUUCUCUGUUCUCGCCACAAGAAUAAAAUAAUCAGCACACUUGGAAAAGAAAGAAAGGAACUGCCCAGGCCGGUGCAGCUCUGCAGCAGAGCGCUUGCGCUUGCCGAGCAGUUGAGACUCUGGGCUCCGGCCCCAGGGCUGGAAAUUGUUCUUUGGAGAGGUGAGGACGUCAGGCACGGAGAGCAGAGAAAACAUCAGCCUUGGGAAGAGAGCAGAGACAGCACAACACCCAUGACACCGAUGCCCGAGGCAGCUCUGCAGGAGGAAAAGGCCGCUGCCUCUUUAGGAAACAUCAGGAGCGAGCCAGGCAUUCCGCCAGAACGGAGCAAGCGGCAGAGAUGGAGAUAAGUAAUCAGCUGCCGCUCCUGGGUACCAACAUCGUGACAAGGGCUUCCCGAUAUUAUUUCUAUUUUUAUGAAUUGUCAUGGUGUGUUUGGGUUACAAAACUAAGAGACUCGAGGUAAAAAAAUAAUAAUGAGAGAGAAGAGGAGGGGGAGGAGACAACUUCGAGCUUUACGGAAAUACAUAACUCACUUGUCUCUGGUCACACACAGGCCUGCUGCAUGUCCCCAAAUGCUCCAGGCCUGCCUGCCCCAGGGCCUUUGCACUUGUUUCCUAUUCAUGGGCUGUUCUUCCCAUGCACAUAGCCCUCUCCUGCCUACUCUCCAGGGGCCUCCUGAUCGAGCGGCAGCCCCUCUGUCACCCACACCCACCGCCUCCUCACCACACUUAGUGCUGCCCGGCAUUAGAGGAGUUCGCUGUCUCUCCACCACCCGUGGAAUCGGCCCCACAGCCCCUUUUGACUGCUGUGGCCCCUGCAGGUGUGCAGCAAACACGCACUGCCAGGUGAGUGACAAAACGCAUAUCAGAUCGCAAUGCGCCUCCUCCGGGAAAGGAGUCCUCUGCAGGCAGCGCUGGCUCUCAUGUGCCCCGCAUGCAGCAGGUGUUUUGGCGUGAACAGAGGGACAGGUGGACGGAGGGACAGAGGUGCGGGGAGGGCCGGGGCCAUUAGGAACGACAGAUACGACAGCAGAGAAACAAGAGAAGAAAACACCACUGGUCCAGGCUUCUGCACGCCUGUCCUUUCCUAACAGCCACCUCAAAUACGAGCUCCUUGAAUCCUCCCAAUGGCCCCAGGAAGGUGGUUUUAUUUUAAGCCCGUUUUCCAGAUGAGGAAACUGAGGCUGAGCAAGGCAGCCUCUCCAGCUCCUCCCAGGCCCCUGGUGAGGACGGGGUGAGUGAGGCCCGGUCUGUGUGCAGCAGGUGCCGAGCUGAGCAGACUGGAGGGGAUUCGGGCCCAGGGCCGUGAGCCUUCCAACACUCACGAGAGAAGCCACUGUCCAGGUUUUCACAUGAAAUCUCUCACUAGUCGAUGUCGGCGAGCAAAUGAAAAUCUUAGAAAACAUCGCAGAACAAAGGAAGCACCUGAAACCCUCAGCCCAGGCUUGGGACUGGGGGAGCAGGAUGUCCUGGGGCAGACAGAAGGCUUCCAGGACGAGGUGGAAGAGGCUUUGGGCGAGGAGCCCAAGAAGGGCCUUGGCUCGGAUCCCCUUGGGCCUGGGGGAGCUGAGCUGCCCUGAGGGCCCUGGGCCGCUCUGAGCCUCCCACCCACCAGCUGGAGGGACCCAAGACACCGCACCCGGUGGCCGGAGGCCCAGCCAGGGCUGGCAGCCGCACGCAGGCGCCUUCCUCUGCUGGCUGCUGGAAAGAGCACCACCUCAAGCGGAACACAGCUAAAGCUCAGGACAUAAAAGCGCUGGCUUCAAGGGGAAUUGCAACACUUCAGCGCAAUGCCCUUGAAAUAUCGUAUUCCAGCAGCCAGUCAAGCUGUGUGCCGGGACAGCCCCCGUUUUCUCCUUGGCUAUGUGAGAAUUCUCUCCGGCAGGGGUCUGGGUCCUAACUCACCGCUGCCUGGAGAGGACUCACAGUAGGGUAGGGCAGGCAGUGACGGUGUGGAGCGGGUGUGGAGGGCGUCCCGGGGCCUAAACGCCGCUGGGGCCAAGCUCUUAGAAAGUAGGUGGCACAUUGUGAGCGCUAGAGAAACGGCGUGAUAAUCAGGGUUAACUACGUGAUGCACACCAUUUCAAGUCACAGUGUGACGAACAGGGGACCCUGGAGACACCGGCAUGAGCGCAUAUGUAGUUAAACAUAGACAAGACGGCAGAGAGUAGAAACACUGCUAGCCCCGUGACCACACGGAAGCCGACCGGCACAUACACUCCUUUGCUUUGUUAGCUGAAAAGACCUAAAAGAAAUGUCAGCCCCGUGGCACUGUGCACACCUGGCAUCCGAUGCCGUCUCCCAUGAAAGGAUCUCGACC